AUGACCUCGGAUCAGGUAGGGAUACCCGCUGAACUUAAGCAUAUCAAUAAGCGGAGGAAAAGAAACCAACAGGGAUUACCUCAGUAACGGCGAGUGAAGCGGUAACAGCUCAAAUUUGAAAUCUGGCUCCUCGGGGCCCGAAUUGUAAUUUGUAGAAGAUGCUUUGGGUCUGGGCCUGGCCUAAGUUCCUUGGAACAGGACGUCGUAGAGGGUGAGAAUCCCGUAUGCGGCUGGCGCCCGUGCCCGUGUAAAGCUCUUUCAACGAGUCGAGUUGUUUGGGAAUGCAGCUCUAAAUGGGUGGUAAAUUUCAUCUAAAGCUAAAUAUUGGCCAGAGACCGAUAGCGCACAAGUAGAGUGAUCGAAAGAUGAAAAGCACUUUGGAAAGAGAGUUAAACAGUACGUGAAAUUGUUGAAAGGGAAGCGCUGGCAACCAGACUUGGGCGCUGUUGAUCCGCUAGGGUUCUCUCUAGGGCACUCGGCAGUGCGCAGGCCAGCAUCGGUUUGGGGGGUUGGAGAAUGGCUGGUGGAAUGUGGCUGUCUUUGGGCAGUGUUAUAGCCACCGGUGGCAUGCAGCCUCCCCGGACCGAGGACCGCGCUUCGGCUAGGAUGCUGGCGUAAUGGUUGUCAGCGACCCGUCUUGAAACACGGACCAAGGAGUCUAACAUCUAUGCGAGUGUUUGGGUGUUAAACCCAUACGCGGAAUGAAAGUGAACGUAGGUGAGAACCCGCAAGGGUGCAUCAUCGACCGAUCCUGAU
RNAcentral lists this ribosomal RNA (756 nucleotides) under Podosphaera xanthii. RNAcentral's name for it is "eukaryotic LSU rRNA". It matches the Rfam family "Eukaryotic large subunit ribosomal RNA", at positions 1 to 775 of the family's 3401-position model. The record is from RNAcentral. Lineage: Eukaryota; Fungi; Ascomycota; Leotiomycetes; Helotiales; Erysiphaceae.